CAAUGUACUUAUUAUGGUAAUUAUUUCUUGCAUGUUUCUUUCUUUUUUUUUUUGAGACAGGGUCUCACUCUGUUGCCCAGUCUGGAGUGCAGCAGCAUGAUCUCAGCUCACUGAAAUCUUGGCCUACCUGGCUCAGGCCAUCCUCCCUCCUCUGCCUCCUGAGUAGCUGGGACUACAGGCACUCACCACCAUGCCUGGCUAGUUGUUGUACUUUUUUGUAGAGAUGAGGUUUCACCAUGUUGCCUAAGCUAGUCUAAAACUCCUAGGCUCAAGUGAUCCUCCCGCCUCAGCCUCCCGAAGUACUGGGAUUGCGGGUGUGAGCCGCUGUGCCUGGCUGCACUUUUCCUUCUAAUGGAAUAUAAGAAAUUUGAAGCCCCCGCAAAGGGAGGUGACUUGUCCACAAUCUCACAGGCUCAGUGGCUUCAGCCAGACUUGGAACGCAACCAGAAGUUCUAAGGCAUCAUGUCACUUUUGUGGGGGAAAUGUAUGAAGAUGAAAAGUUUCAAGGACACCUAUGGUGGAAUUUUAG
This 529-nucleotide long non-coding RNA is filed under the name Homo sapiens (human). Its description in RNAcentral is "HSALNT0263234". Lineage: Eukaryota; Metazoa; Chordata; Mammalia; Primates; Hominidae. The record is from RNAcentral.